GUGCUCACUUUGGCAGCACAUAUACUGAAAUUGGAACAUUACAGAGAAGAUUAGCAUGGCCCUGUGCAAGGAUGACAUACAAAUUCGUGAAGGGUUCCAUAUUUUU
RNAcentral lists this small nuclear RNA (106 nucleotides) under Dasypus novemcinctus (nine-banded armadillo). Lineage: Eukaryota; Metazoa; Chordata; Mammalia; Cingulata; Dasypodidae. The record is from RNAcentral.